GACGAACCGUGCGAACGUUAUUCGGAAUCACUGGGCUUAAAGCGCGUGUAGGCGGGUCGGCACGUCGGACGCUGAAAUCCCCCGGCUCAACCGGGGAACCGGCGGCGAUACGACCGACCUGGAGGGGCGUAGGGGGACCUGGAACUUCCGGUGGAGCGGUGAAAUGCGUUGAGAUCGGAAGGAACGCCCGUGGCGAAAGCGAGGUCCUGGACGCCAACUGACGCUGAGACGCGAAAGCCAGGGGAGCGAACGGG
RNAcentral lists this ribosomal RNA (254 nucleotides) under uncultured bacterium. RNAcentral's name for it is "partial 16S ribosomal RNA". It matches the Rfam family "Bacterial small subunit ribosomal RNA", at positions 524 to 776 of the family's 1533-position model. The record is from RNAcentral.